AGCUUUGUGCAGUGGCAGUAUCAUAGUCAAUGAGGUUUAUUCAAGGCAUGAUAAUUGCUAAUUGAAAAAACUUGACUUUAUGUCGAUGUCCCUGGUGAAUACAGAUAUAAAAUGUUGCAAUAAAUUAGGUUU
Molecule: small nuclear RNA, 132 nt
Organism: Rattus norvegicus (Norway rat)
Lineage: Eukaryota; Metazoa; Chordata; Mammalia; Rodentia; Muridae
Product: U4 spliceosomal RNA
Source: Ensembl